This 737-nucleotide ribosomal RNA is filed under the name uncultured Inocybe. RNAcentral's name for it is "eukaryotic LSU rRNA". The stretch from base 325 to 478 matches the Rfam family "5.8S ribosomal RNA". The record is from RNAcentral. Lineage: Eukaryota; Fungi; Basidiomycota; Agaricomycetes; Agaricales; Cortinariaceae.
GGUCAUUUAGAGGAAGUAAAAGUCGUAACAAGGUUUCCGUAGGUGAACCUGCGGAAGGAUCAUUAUCGAAUAAACUUGAACAGGCUGUUGCUGGUCCCAGGACGAUGUGCACGCUUGUCAUCUUUAUCAUUUCUCCCAACUGUGCACGUAUUGUAGACCCUGGAUGGAGAGGUUUUGGAUUCGUUCCGAGUGGGGACUGCUGUGCUUCCGAAGAGAGGUCGGCUUUCCCUUUUCAUCCUCCAGGUCUAUGUCAUUCUUGUUCACAACCUUCAUGUCUAGAAUGUCGAGUAAAGGUCCUUUUUUGUACCUAUAAAAAAGUUAUACAACUUUCAGCAACGGAUCUCUUGGCUCUCGCAUCGAUGAAGAACGCAGCGAAAUGCGAUAAGUAAUGUGAAUUGCAGAAUUCAGUGAAUCAUCGAAUCUUUGAACGCAUCUUGCGCUCCUUGGUAUUCCGAGGAGCAUGCCUGUUUGAGUGUCAUUUAAAAUUCUCAAACCCACUUGACGUGGCUUUGGAUGUGGGGGCUUUUGUUUGCAGGCUUUUCUUCUCAAGUCUGCUCCCCUGAAAUGCAUUAGUGGUGUCUGGAGUGGAAACCGCUAGGUGUGAUAAUUAUCAUCUACGCCUUUGGGUAUGCCACAUGAAACAGAUUGUGCUGCUUCCAACACAACCUUUAUGACAAACUUGACCUCAAAUCGGGUAGGACUACCCGCUGAACUUAAGCAUAUCAAUAAGCGGAGGA